RNAcentral lists this ribosomal RNA (776 nucleotides) under Homidia sichuanensis. RNAcentral's name for it is "eukaryotic LSU rRNA". It matches the Rfam family "Eukaryotic large subunit ribosomal RNA", at positions 55 to 650 of the family's 3401-position model. Lineage: Eukaryota; Metazoa; Arthropoda; Collembola; Entomobryomorpha; Entomobryidae. The record is from RNAcentral.
GGAAAAGAAACUAACAAGGAUUCCCUGAGUAACGGCGAGCGAAAAGGGAAUAGCCCAGCGCCGAAUCUCUUGUCCUCCGGGCAAGAAGACAUGUGGCGUUUGGGACGAGGCUUUGCCUGUGCAGAAUGGUCAUCCAAGUCCCUCUUGAACGGGGCCAUAGCCCAUGGAGGGUGCUAGGCCCGUAUGAUGACUUUAUUGUGCAGUGCGUCUCGUCCGUAGAGUCGGGUUGCUUGGGAGUGCAGCCCAAAUCAGGUGGUAAACUCCAUCUAAGGCUAAAUAUGACCACGAGACCGAUAGCGAACAAGUACCGUGAGGGAAAGUUGAAAAGAACUUUGAAGAGAGAGUUAAAAAGUACGUGAAACCUCUCGGGGGUAAGCGGGCAGAACUUGCAAGUAUUGGCUGGGAACAUUCAGGCUUAGUGUUGGUGGCUUGUGGUGCACGAUUUGUUGCUCUUUCGGGAGUUGGCUGCCGUGUACUGUUUGGUCUGCUAACGAUGCGCCGCAUUUGUUCCUGUCAUCGGGUUGCAUGCGACUUGAUGGUAGUUUAGGUGCUAGGUUUCUGCAAAUCCUUGUGGUUUGAGUCUUGGUUUCCAACUACUGUCGGGGUCGUUGAAAUUACGAGUAGGCGCUUGGCGCGGUCAAUGGAUUUCGCGAGUUGGGUGCUUAUGAUAUGUGGACGGGUAACCGUAGCAUGUUGUCUGUACCUGCUGUCAGUGAGAUUUUAAACUUUGGCACUGCUCUGAUUGCAAUCUAAAGCAUGCGUGGUCUGCCUGUCCC